This 936-nucleotide long non-coding RNA is filed under the name Homo sapiens (human). RNAcentral's name for it is "non-protein coding lnc-RBPJ-3:1". The record is from RNAcentral. Lineage: Eukaryota; Metazoa; Chordata; Mammalia; Primates; Hominidae.
UCUCUCUGCACAUUCAUGUUUGAGAAUGCUAGUUUUCUUUUGUAACUUUUACCAGGGAGUCCUUGCAAUAUUGCUUUGGUCUGGGGAAGUAGUGCUAUUUAUCUAAUUAUAAAGACCUUCAUUUUCAUUGGGCAGGGUGCAUCUGGGAGUUAAGAAUGGCAAAUGCCAAACCGUGUGUCUGCGGGUGUGAGGCUGAGGAUCGUACUUUCCACCUAUAGGCACAGGUGGAGGCUGCAUCAUCACUCGAGCCUGUCGGCCCCAUUCACUCAGGCUUCCCAUGUGCCCACUCCACAGUAAAUUGUUUCCUGUUUGGCAGCACUUCUUGCACUUCAAAGAAUUUGCCAGAAGAGUCCAGACCUAGGUACCUGCCCAGUUCCUUAGAGGGGACUCAGAUCCCUGCAAGGGUAUAGCCUUUGGUGAGUCCCAGUCCUGAGCCUUGCUCACUUGACCCUCUUCUGGGGCUGGGGACAAUGAAUACGUGUGUUCCAAAGGUGUAAAUUCUUGCUCUGCCCUCACCAGGGAUGUGACUCUGGGCAGGCUUCUUGAUCUCUUGAAGUCUCAACUAUAAAAUGAGGUUAAUAAUACUCACCAAACUCAGAACCUGGAUUUGCUGGAAGCACAGAGAGAGAGAAAAGAAGAAUAGGAAGGAAGGAAGGAAGAAGGGAAGGAAGGAAGGAAAGAAGGAGAAGGAGGAGGAGAAGGAGAAGGAGGAGGAGAAGAAGAAGAAGAAAAAGAAAAAGAAGAAGAAGGAGAAGGAAGAAGAAGAAGAAGAAGGAGGAGGAGGAAGAGGAGGAGGAGGGGAAGAAGAAGAAGGAGGGGAAGAGGAAGGAGAAGGAGGGGAAGGGGAAGGAGAAGGAGAAGAGGAAGAGGAAGAAGAAGAAGAAAGAGGAAGAAGAAGAAGAAGAAAGCGGGAAGAGGAGGAGAAGGUGUAGAGGA